GGCGGGCCUCCCCGCAUGGCAGCCCCGUGAACCUGGUCAGGUCCGGAAGGAAGCAGCCACAGCGGAUCGUUACCAGUGCCGGGGUCAAGGCUCGCCACU
RNAcentral lists this signal recognition particle RNA (99 nucleotides) under Thiobacillus sp. RNAcentral's name for it is "signal recognition particle sRNA small type". It matches the Rfam family "Bacterial small signal recognition particle RNA". Rfam says of the family: The signal recognition particle (SRP) is a universally conserved ribonucleoprotein involved in the co-translational targeting of proteins to membranes. Archaeal SRP consists of a 7S RNA and homologues of the eukaryotic SRP19 and SRP54 proteins. Lineage: Bacteria; Pseudomonadati; Pseudomonadota; Betaproteobacteria; Nitrosomonadales; Thiobacillaceae. The record is from RNAcentral. RNAcentral also lists the same sequence under 3 other names.